GCUUCGCUGGUCACCUCCACCGAGCAUAUUUGCAUGGAUCAGUAAUCGUACUACAUUAUUUAAAAAUAAAAAGAAUUGCUAACCAAAAAUAGUAAUGAAUCCUAAACAUAAAUGAAUCAUGAACACGCGCGCUUAGGUUUUUUUAAUCUUUAAAGCAACAAUAAUGAUUAAAAAAAACAGUGAAUCACAAUGAGUCGCGUUAUCGUUUGAUGACGAAGAACUACUACAAUUUUAAUAGCCUAAUAAAAAUUUUCAAAAUACCAAAAAAGACUUCGGAUUUCGACAACACCACAAGUAGUAGAUUACAG
RNAcentral lists this unclassified non-coding RNA (308 nucleotides) under Hevea brasiliensis (rubber tree). Lineage: Eukaryota; Viridiplantae; Streptophyta; Magnoliopsida; Malpighiales; Euphorbiaceae. The record is from RNAcentral.